Musa acuminata subsp. malaccensis (wild Malaysian banana) is the source of this 101-nucleotide non-coding RNA. NCBI's taxonomy places the organism in Eukaryota, Viridiplantae, Streptophyta, Magnoliopsida, Zingiberales, Musaceae. The record is from Rfam.
AGAGCCAAAUGUAGCCAAGGACAAACUUGCCGGCAACUUGCAAACGAGGCGCUAUCUCGAGGCAAUUCCGGCAAGUCAUCCUUGGCUGCAUUCCACUCUCC